UUAACUCAAAUUGGUAUGCAGUUGGAACAGCACCCCUAGCGGCAAACGUAGGCAAACGUUCCAACUCUAUACAAAUUUUACGCUA
This is a non-coding RNA of Bombyx mori (domestic silkworm), 85 nucleotides long. The record is from Rfam. Lineage: Eukaryota; Metazoa; Arthropoda; Insecta; Lepidoptera; Bombycidae.